This 305-nucleotide ribosomal RNA is filed under the name uncultured bacterium. RNAcentral describes it as "bacterial SSU rRNA". It matches the Rfam family "Bacterial small subunit ribosomal RNA", at positions 335 to 656 of the family's 1533-position model. The record is from RNAcentral.
CUACCUACGGGAGGCAGCAGUGGGGAAUAUUGCACAAUGGGGGAAACCCUGAUGCAGCAACGCCGCGUGAGUGAAGAAGGUUUUCGGAUUGUAAAGCUCUGUUAGCAGGGAAGAGGAAGGACGGUACCUGCAGAGGAAGCCACGGCUAACUACGUGCCAGCAGCCGCGGUAAUACGUAGGGAGCAAGCGUUAUCCGGAUUUAUUGGGUGUAAAGGGUGCGUAGACGGGAAAUUAAGUUAGUUGUGAAAUCCCUCGGCUCAACUGAGGAACUGCAACUAAAACUGAUUUUCUUGAGUGCAGGAGAG